AUUAGCUGACGAGUCCAAAAUAGGACGAAAUGCGCAUCCUGGAU
Molecule: non-coding RNA, 44 nt
Filed under: Trichobilharzia regenti
Lineage: Eukaryota; Metazoa; Platyhelminthes; Trematoda; Strigeidida; Schistosomatidae
Source: RNAcentral